UAGGAGUUUUUAGACAAUACUUA
This 23-nucleotide small nuclear RNA is filed under the name Arabidopsis thaliana (thale cress). Its description in RNAcentral is "snRNA_07066". The record is from RNAcentral. Lineage: Eukaryota; Viridiplantae; Streptophyta; Magnoliopsida; Brassicales; Brassicaceae.